This 497-nucleotide ribosomal RNA is filed under the name uncultured bacterium. RNAcentral's name for it is "partial 16S ribosomal RNA". It matches the Rfam family "Bacterial small subunit ribosomal RNA", at positions 28 to 507 of the family's 1533-position model. The record is from RNAcentral.
GAUGAACGCUGGCGGCGUGCCUAAUACAUGCAAGUCGAGCGAACAGACGAGGAGCUUGCUCCUCUGACGUUAGCGGCGGACGGGUGAGUAACACGUGGAUAACCUACCUAUAAGACUGGGAUAACUUCGGGAAACCGGAGCUAAUACCGGAUAAUAUAUUGAACCGCAUGGUUCAAUAGUGAAAGACGGUUUUGCUGUCACUUAUAGAUGGAUCCGCGCCGCAUUAGCUAGUUGGUAAGGUAACGGCUUACCAAGGCGACGAUGCGUAGCCGACCUGAGAGGGUGAUCGGCCACACUGGAACUGAGACACGGUCCAGACUCCUACGGGAGGCAGCAGUAGGGAAUCUUCCGCAAUGGGCGAAAGCCUGACGGAGCAACGCCGCGUGAGUGAUGAAGGUCUUCGGAUCGUAAAACUCUGUUAUUAGGGAAGAACAAAUGUGUAAGUAACUAUGCACGUCUUGACGGUACCUAAUCAGAAAGCCACGGCCAACUACGUG